GGAAUUUUCCGCAAUGGGCGAAAGCCUGACGGAGCAACGCCGCGUGAGGGAUGAAGGCCUCUGGGCUGUAAACCUCUUUUAUCAAGGAAGAAGAUCUGACGGUACUUGAUGAAUAAGCCACGGCUAAUUCCGUGCCAGCAGCCGCGGUAAUACGGGAGUGGCAAGCGUUAUCCGGAAUUAUUGGGCGUAAAGCGUCCGCAGGCGGUCUUUUAAGUCUGUCGUCAAAGCGUGGAGCUUAACUCCAUUACUGCGAUGGAAACUGGGAGACUAGAGUGUGGUAGGGGCAGAGGGAAUUCCCGGUGUAGCGGUGAAAUGCGUAGAUAUCGGGAAGAACACCAGUGGCGAAGGCGCUCUGCUGGGCCAUAACUGACGCUCAUGGACGAAAGCCAGGGGAGCGAAAGGGAUUAGAUACCCCUGUAGUCCUGGCCGUAAACGAUGAACACUAGGUGUCGGGGGAAUCGACCCCCUCGGUGUCGUAGCCAACGCGUUAAGUGUUCCGCCUGGGGAGUACGCGCGCAAGUGUGAAACUCAAAGGAAUUGACGG
This 544-nucleotide ribosomal RNA is filed under the name uncultured bacterium. RNAcentral's name for it is "bacterial SSU rRNA". It matches the Rfam family "Bacterial small subunit ribosomal RNA", at positions 358 to 916 of the family's 1533-position model. The record is from RNAcentral.